UCGGGAGGAUGAGAAGCUCCGGGGGAGGAGGUUCGCGCCGAGCGAAGCGAGACAGCGUUGCGCAGCAACGACCCGAAGGGCGAGCCACAGCGUGGCGAGUAAUCCUCUAUCACCGACC
Molecule: small RNA, 118 nt
Filed under: Enterobacter kobei
Lineage: Bacteria; Pseudomonadati; Pseudomonadota; Gammaproteobacteria; Enterobacterales; Enterobacteriaceae
Description: RtT RNA
Rfam family: RtT RNA (bases 5-107)
About the family: This family represents a bacterial cis-regulatory element known as RtT RNA.
Source: RNAcentral